Molecule: ribosomal RNA, 407 nt
Filed under: uncultured prokaryote
Description: bacterial SSU rRNA
Rfam family: Bacterial small subunit ribosomal RNA
Source: RNAcentral
UGGGGAAUAUUGGGCAAUGGGCGAAAGCCUGACCAAGCGACGCCGCGUGAAGGAUGAAGGUCUUCGGAUUGUAAACUUCUCUGAUCAGGGAAGAAAGAAAUGACGGUACCUGAAAAACAAGCCACGGCUAACUACGUGCCAGCAGCCGCGGUAAUACGUAGGUGGCGAGCGUUGUCCGGAAUUACUGGGUGUAAAGGGCGUGUAGGCGGGGAGACAAGUCAGAUGUGAAAUACCGAAGCUUAACUUCGGGGCUGCAUCUGAAACUGUUUUUCUUGAGUGUCGGAGAGGAAAGCGGAAUUCCCAGUGUAGCGGUGAAAUGCGUAGAUAUUGGGAGGAACACCAGUGGCGAAGGCGGCUUUCUGGACGACAACUGACGCUGAGGCGCGAAAGCGUGGGGAGCAAACAGG